AUUGAACGCUGGCGGCAGGCCUAACACAUGCAAGUCGAGCGGAUGAAGGGAGCUUGCUCCUGGAUUCAGCGGCGGACGGGUGAGUAAUGCCUAGGAAUCUGCCUGGUAGUGGGGGCUAACGUCCGGAAACGGGCGCUAAUACCGCAUACGUCCUGAGGGAGAAAGUGAUUGAUCUUCGGACCUCAAGCUAUCAGAUCAACCUAGGUCGGAUUAGCUAGUUGGUGGGGUAAAGACCUACCAAGGCGACGAUCCGUAACUGGUCUGAGAGGAUGAUCAGUCACACUGGAACUGAGACACGGUCCAGACUCCUACGGGAGGCAGCAGUGGGGAAUAUUGGACAAUGGGCGAAAGCCUGAUCCAGCCAUGCCGCGUGGGUGAAGAAGUUCUUCGGAUUGUAAAGCACUUUAAGUUGGGAGGAAGGGCAGUAAGUUAAUACCUUGCUGUUUUGACGUUACCAACAGAAUAAGCACCGGCUAACUUCGUG
Molecule: ribosomal RNA, 484 nt
Filed under: uncultured bacterium
Lineage: Bacteria
Description: partial 16S ribosomal RNA
Rfam family: Bacterial small subunit ribosomal RNA
Source: RNAcentral